GUCCUUAUUAAUGUCAUGUGUCACAGUAGGAUGUAAAGUGACACAACACAAUGUGAUGGAAUGCAACUUGUUAUAGCACCUGCUAUCUAAGGGGUAGGAAUUUCACCGCAGCACCGACUCAGACUGAAAAUGUCUGCUAUAAAUUCCUGUAAUAUAGGAAAGAUGCUGUAAAGAGAUUGUGCCUCUUUUUCUGCAACAGCUGUGAAUAAUUUGACAUUUAGGCAACUGUGUAAUAAAAAUAAUAAAUAAUAAUUUAGCCAGAGCCUGUUGGAUCCUUUAAUAGAUGCAACACUUGAGCUGCUGGAGUCUCUUGAGCAUUUCUGAAAUGUUAUCAGAAAACACAGACUGCAUUUUGUCCAUAAGGCGAAUGGGUUAAACCUGAAGUUGAAAGGCAAGAAGUCCUGUAGAAAAAAAUGGGACAUUUGCCUUCAUCCAUCUGAACUGGAAGUAAAUGAGCCAUCUGGAACUGAGCAGAGAAGGAUGAACACCUUCUCUGAAGAGAAUGUGGAAGCAGCAUCCUCUCUGAGCACUGCUUUCCAACAUGGAGCACAGUUUGGCCAGAGGGGUCCUGUGAGGAGUCCACAAUUAUAUCUUCCUGUUAAAAUGGGAAUAAGAUAGAAGUUCCAGCGAAUUUAGUAAGAAAAGAACUUUGGAGCAAGAAGCAAGAACAGGAUUUUGAAAGAUCUGCAAAUAAAUUUAUCCUAGCACAUAAC
RNAcentral lists this long non-coding RNA (713 nucleotides) under Taeniopygia guttata (zebra finch). RNAcentral's name for it is "lncRNA (ENSTGUG00000025468.1)". The record is from RNAcentral. Lineage: Eukaryota; Metazoa; Chordata; Aves; Passeriformes; Estrildidae.